CAGGGUGGCUCGCAACAAUAAAAUAGAUACAAUGUAAAUUAAAAGUAAUAAAAUUAACCAACUUAAGUAAACAAGUUAAAAGUCAGGCUAAAACCACAAUCAGAAUUAUGUUUCAAAUAAAAAGUUAUUUUAAAAGCUAAAAAAAUGAGAAACAUAAGAACUAAGAAGUAAAGAACCUACCAGAUAUAACCAGAGAUGGAACAUUCAAAGCCUCUUUAAAAAGAUGUGUUUUUAGAUUAUUAUUUUUUAAAAAAAAAAAACACUGAGGAAGGGAGCAUGGGGAAGAUCUUCAGGGAGGGCGUUCCAAAGCCAAGGGGGCACAACCAAAAAGGCCCUUUUUCUAGUCCUCACCAACGGGAGCUCAGCUGAUGCAGGGCCAUGAGCAGGGCCUGAGAUGAUGAGUGGAGGGCCCUGGAACGUUCAUAUGGCUAAAUGUGGUCUAACAGGAACCCCAGCCCAAGCCAUGUAGAGUUUUAAAGGUCAAGACCCGCACCUUGAAUCUAGCCCAGAAGCAAACCAGUAACCAAUGAAGCUGUGAAACUUGUGAAGUGACUUGCACCCACAAACAUCCUUGCAGCAGCAUUCUGGACCAGGUGAAGCUUCUGAAUCAUCUUCAAGGGCAGCCCCACAUAGAGCACAUUGCAGUAGUCCAAUCUGGAUGUUACCAACACAUGAGUGACCAAAACAAGAUAUUUCCCUCUGUCACUAGUUGCCUUUUUAAAGUUUUAUUAUUUCGCCCAUAGGGAAUAAUGAGGAUUAGGUUCUCUGAUGUCACAUAGAUUCUACAUAAUGAAUCCCUAUGUAUAAUCAAUGUGCCAUCAGAGAAUCCAACACUAUUGACAACACAGAAUCCACACAUGUUGGAUUCUCUGAUGGCACACAGAUUAUCCAUAGGGAUUCAUUAUGUGGAAAAAUGGGCCAGAAAAAUGGGUCAGGGGACUGAAGCCAGGCUAGCCUGCUGGGCAACAAACAGGAGGGAAGAUUAGGGCUCCACUCAUUACACUUUUCUUUUUAAGAACACUACAGCCAGUCAGGAAAUAAAAUACUUAAAUAUUGUCAAGAUAGAUAGAUAGAUAGAUAGAUAGAUGCCCAGACAGGCAGCGUGCUUCCAAAGGAAAAACUGGAAGGAAGCAGCUGCUUCAAUAAUCAGAUUAAUUAAUUAAUUAAAUUAUAUUGAUUCUCCUGGGUGUGCCUUGGAAUGUGCGUCCCAGCGCCCAGCUGAUUGGCGGAGGGGUCUGAUUGGCUGAGGCGCACACAGGAAGAUUGGUCGCCGUGGCAGCGGCAGGCCUGGCUGCAGAAGCCAGAGGCAGUGGUGGGCCUUUGGGGACAGGGAGCCAUCUUAUUUGUUUGUUAUUUCUCUGUGUAAACCGCCUGAGCCAUUUUUGGAAGGGUGGUAUAGAAUUUGAAUGAAUGGAUGAACCAUCAAACCGGGGUGGCUCUAUCUAGAACUGCUUCACACAUCCCUAGUUUGGAUUUCUCACAACUUUGGACCUGGGUACAGUUAAUGACAACAUUGAGAAUUUCCCCUAAAUGUUAUGGGGUGGAGGUAUCAACAUGAUGCUGCAAGUGUUGGCAGAAGAUCCCCGUCUGCCGUAACUGAUAACUCACCCUAAGUCAUGCUCUUUGAAAUAAGAAGCAAGAUGCCACCACCAUUCAAGCUAAGAAUUAAUUGGAAAAAUACCACUAAGUGAUCCUCCAUGCCUGCUGAGGUCAAUGGGUCAUCCUGAUGCAGCCUCCAAGACUGUUUUCCAAGGAUUUUGCUUCCGACACUUUUAAAUGAAGAAUGACAAUAUGAGCAUCUCUUAUUUGGUUUGGAGGCAAGUAGGAGAUGAUUUUUUCUCAUCAGAGCAAAUAUUAUGUUUGCUCAGAACUUUUUAGAAGCCUCUUGCGAAAAUUUGACCAAGGGGAAAAAAUGCCCGAGGCAGCUCCCAACUAUCAAAACAGGGCUCUGUCUUUUAUAACCUUUGAACUGAUAUUGAAAGUUGAUGAAAAUUUUCUUCUCCCUACACCCUGUGCAGGAAGGGUUGCACAUUUUCUUAUGAGUUUUCUAACAAUGUGUUUAAAACGUCAAGCUCAAUUACACAGAGAAAAUAACUGUCGUCAUCAUCUCCAGAAAUUUUCUAGGUUACCUGACUCCUCCAUGGCUUAAGGCAACCAGCCUUUUUUGUUUAUCAUUUUGCUUCAUAAAAACACACCAAAAAAGUCUGUGUUUGAGGCAGAAUUUAUUGCUCGUAUCUGGAGCUCAUGUGGUGGAAAGAUAUCUGUAGGAGGUCCAGUCUUUCUUGUUCAUCUAGCUGAGAAAAGAAUUUCAAAGUCGAGGUCACAGCAAGCAGUGCAAACCCAUACAUUCGCCAUGAGUGAUGGUCAAGUCACACACAAGCACACACUACACACACACACCAUCUUCUCCCUCCCCAAUUCACAGAACACUGAAAAAUAACUUUUCCUCAUAUUCCUGCAUAUGGAAAGUAAAUUCAGCUGCUAAUAUAUUUUGCACCCCUGUAUAAUUUCCUUAGCCAUUAUGGACCUUGGGAGGUCAUCUCACUUUCCUCCAACUACAUACUAGCCUAAACACUGUGGCUGACAUCUAGAUUAAGUUAUUCAGUAGUAUUAGUCAGGAGUUCUCUAAAUUUAAAAGACUACUUGAUUUCAAUAGGACUCUCCAGAAUAAUUUUGUCUGGAUGUGAGCCUGUAUUUCUAUAUUUCACCAAAUAGUGGAAACCCAGUAGCCUUAUUCACGUGAUGGUAGAUAAUCAAUGUGUGGUAAGAGUUGGAUCAUGCCUGCAGUCUUGCCGGGAUCACAAGAGAGCCUAUGUUGGUACAGGCUGUAUGUGUGUAGGCUCUCUCAGUGUGAUUUUGCAGAACCCCCAAUACAGAGUGUGCACGUAUGUGCCUAGUCACUCUUCACAAUUUGCCUAAGCACAUGGCAAAUAGGGUGGGGGGAUCCAUGGGGGAUAUUUCACUUCCUUACUCACCAUGCAUUCAUGUUCCUCUAUGAAUAGAGUUAUAAUGCCCUUAUGGCAUCAGAGCUAUUGAAACAACUGCAUGGCUUACUUUAUUGUUUGUUCUAUGCGGAUAUUCGUAAUAGAUUUAUUUCUCCAUAUUUAGUAAAGUAUCCCGGCCAUACUGAUAUGUUUUCUCUUCAGCAUUUCCUGUCUAAUUACAAUGAUCCAGUUAUGUAUGUUGCUUAUUUGGCUGGUUGAUGAUCGUAAUAAAUGAAUCUAAUCUAAUAGAGUUAUAUGGUACACUUUCACACCUUCUGGAAAGUUUGGUUGUCAUGUCAUGUGGGAAAUAGCAAACACCCUUUCAGCAGUACUACUGAGAAGAUGGUUCAGUUCUUGCUCAACCAUUCUCCAAACCACCACCCCCAUCUCAUAGGGAAGCCAUAAUUCCAAAGAUAUUUUCCCUAUCAAAUUUUCUUCCCUUUAAGCCCUAUGAACCAAUCCAGUCCAGAGCUACUGACAAAUCCACAAAAUAAAGCAGACCACCCAGCCUAUUAUAAGAAGCAUAGGAAUAAACUCUUUGUACAAUCAUUUCUUCUCCUUAUCCAUGCACAUUAAUUUUGGGUUGAAAAGACCAACCUUUUCAAACUGGGUUGAAGUAACGACCAAAAGUGGA
Hemicordylus capensis (graceful crag lizard) is the source of this 3618-nucleotide long non-coding RNA. RefSeq lists it as uncharacterized. The record is from RefSeq and is a predicted model, not a curated record. The transcript is spliced from 3 exons. NCBI's taxonomy places the organism in Eukaryota, Metazoa, Chordata, Lepidosauria, Squamata, Cordylidae.